This 253-nucleotide ribosomal RNA is filed under the name uncultured bacterium. Its description in RNAcentral is "partial 16S ribosomal RNA". It matches the Rfam family "Bacterial small subunit ribosomal RNA", at positions 524 to 776 of the family's 1533-position model. The record is from RNAcentral.
UACGUAGGGGGCAAGCGUUAUCCGGAUUUACUGGGUGUAAAGGGAGCGUAGGCGGUGCAGCAAGUCAGAAGUGAAAGCCCGGGGCUCAACUCCGGGACUGCUUUUGAAACUGUUGAACUAGAUUGCAGGAGAGGUAAGUGGAAUUCCUAGUGUAGCGGUGAAAUGCGUAGAUAUUAGGAGGAACACCAGUGGUGAAGGCGGCUUACUGGACUGUAAAUGACGCUGAGGCUCGAAAGCGUGGGGAGCAAACAGG